Molecule: ribosomal RNA, 460 nt
Filed under: uncultured bacterium
Lineage: Bacteria
Description: bacterial SSU rRNA
Rfam family: Bacterial small subunit ribosomal RNA
Source: RNAcentral
GAUGAACGCUGGCGGCGUGCCUAACACAUGCAAGUCGAACGGACUUACAUUGAAGCCUAGCGAUAUGUAAGUUAGUGGCGGACGGGUGAGUAACGCGUGGGUAACCUGCCUUGUACUGGGGGACAACAGUUGGAAACGACUGCUAAUACCGCAUAAGCGCACAGCUUCGCAUGAAGCGGUGUGAAAAACUCCGGUGGUACAAGAUGGACCCGCGUCUGAUUAGCUGGUUGGUGAGGUAACGGCCCACCAAGGCGACGAUCAGUAGCCGGCCUGAGAGGGUGAACGGCCACAUUGGGACUGAGACACGGCCCAAACUCCUACGGGAGGCAGCAGUGGGGAAUAUUGCACAAUGGGGGAAACCCUGAUGCAGCAACGCCGCGUGAGUGAAGAAGUAUUUCGGUAUGUAAAGCUCUAUCAGCAGGAAAGAAAAUGACGGUACCUGACUAAGAAGCCCCGGCUA